ACCUGGUUGGCUCAGUCUGUGGAGCCUGUGACUUUUGAUCUUGGGGUUGUGAGUUCGAGUCCCAUGCUGGGUG
RNAcentral lists this transfer RNA (73 nucleotides) under Canis lupus familiaris (dog). It matches the Rfam family "tRNA". From Rfam's summary of the family: Transfer RNA (tRNA) molecules are approximately 80 nucleotides in length. Their secondary structure includes four short double-helical elements and three loops (D, anti-codon, and T loops). Further hydrogen bonds mediate the characteristic L-shaped molecular structure. tRNAs have two regions of fundamental functional importance: the anti-codon, which is responsible for specific mRNA codon recognition, and the 3' end, to which the tRNAs corresponding amino acid is attached (by aminoacyl-tRNA synthetases). tRNAs cope with the degeneracy of the genetic code in two manners: having more than one tRNA (with a specific anti-codon) for a particular amino acid; and 'wobble' base-pairing, i.e. permitting non-standard base-pairing at the 3rd anti-codon position. Lineage: Eukaryota; Metazoa; Chordata; Mammalia; Carnivora; Canidae. The record is from Rfam by way of RNAcentral. RNAcentral also lists the same sequence under 1 other name.